GCUCAGAGAUGGUUCGCUCCAGCCUCUCUCUGGCUUCACGCUCUCUGCGUAGCUCUUCCUGCAGCUCCUCGCGGUCUUCCUCAGCACGGUCCAGCCUCUGACGCAGCUCUGAUAACUAAGCACAGGAUACCAUUGGCCGUGUGGUGAUGUUGCACUCCCUAAUAUAGGACAGAAACUUGAAUCUGAAUAGUGGAGGAAAUAUGGACGUUUCUCCCAUCAGCAGCCGCACGGGAUUCCGUCUCGGAGUUCACAGCAGAACGAGCGCCCGUCGCCCUGACACCGAUAACACUGGAGCGGACUUCAUGCUGAGAGACGAGACGAGACGUCAAUCCACAACCCAACAACCUACGUC
Molecule: long non-coding RNA, 352 nt
Organism: Cyprinus carpio (common carp)
Lineage: Eukaryota; Metazoa; Chordata; Actinopteri; Cypriniformes; Cyprinidae
Exons: 3
Source: RefSeq, a predicted model, not a curated record